GAUGAACGCUGGCGGCGUGCCUAAUACAUGCAAGUCGAGCGAACAGACGAGGAGCUUGCUCCUCUGACGUUAGCGGCGGACGGGUGAGUAACACGUGGAUAACCUACCUAUAAGACUGGGAUAACUUCGGGAAACCGGAGCUAAUACCGGAUAAUAUAUUGAACCGUAUGGUUCAAUAGUGAAAGACGGUUUUGCUGUCACUUAUAGAUGGAUCCGCGCCGCAUUAGCUAGUUGGUAAGGUAACGGCUUACCAAGGCAACGAUGCGUAGCCGACCUGAGAGGGUGAUCGGCCACACUAGAACUGAGACACGGUCCAGACUCCUACGGGAGGCAGCAGUAGGGAAUCUUCCGCAAUGAGCGAAAGCCUGACGGAGCAACGCCGCGUGAGUGAUGAAGGUCUUCGGAUCGUAAAACUCUGUUAUUAGGGAAGAACAAAUGUGUAAGUAACUAUGCACGUCUUGACGGUACCUAAUCAGAAAGCCACGGCUAACUACGUG
RNAcentral lists this ribosomal RNA (497 nucleotides) under uncultured bacterium. RNAcentral describes it as "partial 16S ribosomal RNA". It matches the Rfam family "Bacterial small subunit ribosomal RNA", at positions 28 to 507 of the family's 1533-position model. The record is from RNAcentral.